CUGUGUUUAACUCUUGUGUUUAACUUAAACCUCUGUGUUUAAGCCAACUGUGUUUAACCCCUGAGAUUGAAGGUUUAUUUGUUGUCGCAUCAUGGCCUGGAAUAUUCUAACCAAUACAACUGCUUUGUAUAGCAUAUCUCCAUAAAAGCCAAGGAUAUUUUCCCAAAAUAGUUGUCUAGGGGAGCAAAGUUGUAUAGUGAGAGCACACGGCUUUCGGUGGUUCCGGCUUGGCCUCGGGUACACGCUGGAAUAUCCAGGGGAACUAUCCAGGUGUAAACGCUCCGUACAGUCCUCCAUGUGAAUUACUUUUUGAAAUAAAAAUUCUUAUGAGUUGGCCAGUUAAAUCUUUGGGGUUAUAUUCCCUAGCAAGAAUUUGUAAUACUGAUAUUGUGUUUUCAUUAAGUGUGGAAACAUGGCUUUGAAAACGAGCCAGAGGAGAAACGGAAUUAACAUUCUCUUAGGAAAAUGAAGCUGCUGGCCUGUACUCCGCAUGAACAGAAGGACCGCUGUGGGACCUCUAGAAAACAGAGGUGUUCCUCCAACAACAGUUCCAGAAUUCCUCCAAAGCGAGCACAGGAAGGUGGAGGUUCCAAGGUGGACGGUUAGAGUGGACAUCUGCGAUUUAUCUGCCAGACGGUUAUUCUCUCUUCCUCUGCGCAUCCCUCCAGGAAAGAGAAAGACCUAUUUGUUUUGGCCUAAACUGAAGAAGGCAGCUGAAAUUCCAACUGCCUGCAGAGAAGCACUCGAUGAAGCCCUUGGAAUUGUUUGGAAGUCUGGAAAGAUAUCUGCAAAGAAGAGGAACAAAGAGAAGAUUGGAAGGAGCCAGGUGGACCUGCCAUCACUCAUACAGUGAAACUCCAGUCUUGGAAGGGAGAAAUGGGAGAUAGCAAGAGAGUCCCCCAGGAGAGCCACAUACAUCCAGGCUAUGCAGUGGGAAGUGAACUGCACCUGCUACAUCUACCAAACUGCCAUCUCUACAUCCAUCUCCAUUUCUUCCUCCCGUGCCCUUUGCUGCCUCCUCCCAGAAUCCCUGUUGACACAGCCUCUGCCCUCAAGCCUGAGCCUUACCUGCCUCCCUAGCCUCAGCCCCCGAAGCUUAACAUACCCUGCAGCAUGUCCUAGGCACAAUCAACUAUAAUCAGCCUCUAGCCCUAUAACAGAUGGAGCUCUUGUGAUUUCCUGCAGCUGUGCCAGUUGUUGAGGAUGCCAGCAGCUGAAUCCCUUCAUGGAAGACGCUGAGAGAGACAGUAUAGUAGCGGAAAGGAUGUGAGUUUUGCAGUCAGAUCAGUACUCAAAUUGAGAUCUCAACUUACCAGCUACUUGACUUGACAUGCCCUCCUUGAGACACCAUUUCUUUAUUGCCCGCUUCAAGGAAAUAAUAAAAUGAAAAUAAUAAAACCUACCUCUUGGGGCUAAGUGUGGAUCAGCAUGAUGCACUUGGAAAGUAGCUGGAAUGAAUAUUUCUUGUUUUCCUUGUCCUGCAUCCUGUCCUCUUUCUACGACAAUGCCUUGGAUUUUCCGUGGGGGACCACUGCCCCCCUCUUGGUCAAUGUGGUCUGAUUAGGUGACUCUACUUUUCCUCUGAGGUGGAAGGAUGGCUUAGCCAAAUCAGGCCCAGUAGAAUCUCAGUGAUUGGUUCAGUGAUGAGCACUUGACCAAGUCUGUGCCAAUGAGAAUUGGCCUUAGAACUUUUCCUGGUACCAUUGGGAUAGAAGCCUCCUGUUCCCUGGAGCAGCCCUGUGGCUGAAAUAUGAGCCAAGAGCUGUGGCAGCUAUCUUGCCACAACAAUGGAAGGGGAGCUUUCUUAGAAUGAUUUCAACAUUGAAGAAAAUGGGGCUGAGGGAGGGAGAGAGCAAGGCCCUAGACAACUUGGGAUACCUGGAAUCAGCUGUAACAAUUUGAUCAACUCCCACUUUUCAGAUGCCAGAGGUGAUACAUUUUCUCAUUGGCUUUUUUCACUGUGAGAUGGCUACUGUUAUGAGCUAAAAUGUGUGUCCCUCUUCCUCAACAAAUUCACGUGUUAAAGCCCUAAUGUCCAGUACACGGAACGUGACUGUAUUUGGAGAUAGGUCCUUUAAGGAGGGGAUGAGGUUGUUGACAUAGGCUAUUAGGGUGUGCCCUAAUCCAAUCUGACUGGUGUCCUUAUAAGGAGAGGAAAUUAGAUGCACACACAGCAGAGAGUUGCACAAAUAUACAACGCGAGGACGCAGUGAGAAGGCAGCCGUACGCAAGCUAAGGAGGCCUCAGAAGAAACCAAACCCACCAAUGCCUUGAUCUUGGACUUUUAGCCUCCAGUACUGUGACAAAAUAAAUUUCUGUUGCUUAAACCACCCAGUCUGUGGUAAUUUGCUAUGGCAGCUAGUAACUAACACAGCUACCAAAGGACACUUGACUAAUACGCUUUCUUUUCCUGCAAUCUAUGGGAGAACCAUAAAUGGCCACUUUUCAAUGUUGGAUAGGAAUACACCAAGGGUUUCGGAGAUGGGAGAGAAUAGAGUGCUGAAGUAGUCAGACAGGGCUUCGUGGCAGGUGAGUAGGGGUAAAACCCAGGCUGGGCUUUAACGAAUCAGUAGAGAAGAUAAAGGCAUCUAAGUAGAAGGAACGACCCAGGUGGGAAAUAGGAUAACUAAGCCAACUGACCCAGCCAGAGAGUGGCUGAGAGAGAAAAGGAAUACUGGAUAAACGUUGAAGGGCCAAAUUAUGGAAAGUCUUCUCAAGUCCAUACUGGGGAGUUUGAAAUGUAUAUUGUAAAGGACAAGAAUUCAUUGUUGGUCUUGGGGCAAGGGAGUCACAACUUGAAGGUGGUGUUUAAGGAAGCUUAGCUGCCUCCAGAGAUGGGGAGAGAGCAAAGUCAGGGAAACCAUCUCUGAAACAUUGGAUUCCUAUCAGGUUCCUACUGGGAGAUGGGGAGGAGAUGACCCACCAGUCUACUUGAGACAAGGUCCUCCUUCCAAGCAAAGGAGCAGUCUCAGUGGGUGUUGGGGAGGCUGAUGGGAGGCUUUGAGGUUAGAUUUGGUGACAGCUUUAGUUUAUUAAUGUUCUCUGCCCCUCCCCCAAGGAACACAGCUGGAUCACAGCUGGAUGCCAUCAUCAUUGUGAAGGGGAUCCAGCUAACCCACUCCACCACUGCUGUCCCACCUC
Long non-coding RNA from Cercocebus atys (sooty mangabey), 3141 nucleotides. NCBI's taxonomy places the organism in Eukaryota, Metazoa, Chordata, Mammalia, Primates, Cercopithecidae. The record is from Ensembl.